AUGGAUGUCCUUGAGCUGACUUAAGCGUCUUCCAUGGCCUGGAGCCCUGUGAUUGCAUCUGUAUGUUCGGACAAUGGAGAUCAAUCCGUGCUUCAUAUUGGUGAAAAUGAACACAUUCACGCUGAUUAAGCAUUUUUUCUUGGUGAUCCAUCUUAUCAUUGCAUCUCUAUGUUAGAAGCACAGAGACCAAUAAUUUGAGCUGAUCAAGCUAUAAUAUUCUGUGAUCAUGCACCUUAUGAUUGUAGGAACCCAUGUGAGUAUUGAUCACAUUUAAGGGGGUGUUCAAUACUUAGGAGAGAUGUAUGGAAUUAAUGAGUAAAGAAUGUGGAAAUAAGUGAAGAGAAGAAGGGAUAACACUGGAUCAAUGAUGACUACUGGUGGCGUAUGAAUUGUGAAUGAUGAAUACAUGUCUGGAGCUCUGAGGUCCAAUGCGAAUAAAAUCAAGCCCAUCCAUUAUCCUAUUGGAUGUGACCCUAUGGCAGAGGCCAGAAAUACAGGAAAGGCUUCUUUGUGGUUCUUGUUUUGAUGCCACAAUGUUCUGUUGACUAUAAUGGGCAAAUUGAAGAGCUCUUCUUAAAGAGUUAAAGUGAAGUAAAGAUGAAAGGCAGAAAGCAAUUUCCAAUCAUGGAACUGUGGGUUGAGAAAAGAUAGACUAGACUAUGAAUAUGGCAAAAACACCCUCAAUUGCAAUGAGUAAGUCAUGGGGCCUGACUGUUAGCAUGUAGGGAAAGUAUGAAGCAGACCAGAUAAGUAAUAGGCAGCCAUCAUCUUGUGGCUCCAUGGAAAGAUCCAAGUGAUUCAUUUUCACGAGAUUUCCCAGGUGCCCUGAGUGAAGGACGGCUUGAAUGCAAACAGGGGCCAGUGGAGAGUGUCUCUAGCAUAUUGAUGGUGCGCCUUGCUGUAUACUCCUCAGAGUGGAGACGUGUUAAAGGAUUCCUUAUAGAGGACCAGCCUAGAACACCAUCUUUGUUAUAGGAGCGAGGAGACCCCUGUGGGCAUCAAUCAUCUCAUUCCUCGUCUGUAGUCGGGUAGUUUCUCUGAAACUAACAAGCGUAAGGUUCCUUGAUGAAUAAGGAAGUGAUAUGUGGGAACAGCCAAGAGCAAAGAUGAGACAGAGAUAGAAUGAUAAAAGAAAAUUUCUAGAGACCUAUGAGCCACAUGAAGGCCUCAUUAUAACCCCGGUAUUAAAACUGUCAUUAGUGGAGUAAGGCAUGAAUCUGUUACCAAUACUGAAGGACAAGAAAGUCAUGGUUUCUGGAUCGAUGAUGAUCCAUGCCAGUGUGUGAGUCCCUGACGAUGAGUAACACAUGUCUGGAACUCUGAGGUCCAAUAGGAAAAAAUGUGGUCUUUCUCUUCAUGGAUUUUCAUUGGUUCCUUGAUGGUGAGAAGUUUGAGAUAUUCGAUGGUCUUUUUGCUGGGUUUGGGGCAUCCUGCUUUUGUUUCAUCAGUAUUGAUGACAUGAUGAUUUAUAUGAUCAAAACGAAUGAAUGAAAGACCUACAACUGGGCCUUAGGGACCCAAAGAUGAACUUGGUAGAAGAUGAGGGGUGGGCAAGUAACCGAGAGCAUCUGGAAACCUGAGGGCCAUGACAGUGCAUCUUCGCUUGUCUACUUUUCUUUCUUCCUGUGGACAGAUAUUGGGAAUCUCUAAGUCAUAUUCUUAUGUUGGGUUAGUGAAGUUAGAUUUCUUGUUAUCAAAAGACAGGUCCCUUGAAAGGGUAUACCUACUAGAUUGAGUAGAAAAUGUCAGUUAGUGUCUCCUCUGGACACUUGCGGUCCUGCAAGAAAUAAUGAUAAAAAUUGCCUCUGUGGACACACAUUUAGCAACACAUGAACCUAAGAGGUCAACUCCUUGGCAAAGCAUCAUGUAGGUGUAUCACAGGAAGAGUCACUUGUAUUGUUUGUAUACUCUCAGAUAUGAGUAUAGUUUUAUUUCUAGAAAACAAUAUCUUUGCAUUAUGAAAUAGGUAUUAAUUCCUCAUAAUUCAGAACAUGAAAUUUGGAGAGGAAGAAUCAGUGGCCCUAAAUUUUUCUUUCUCUCUCUUUUUCUUUUGUUUUCAUGGACUGGACUCUAUUCAUGGGAAUCGACGCCUUUGAGCUGAAUAAACUGUCAGUAGUCCGUGGUCAUGGACCUUAUGGUUGUAGAAACCCGUAGUGAAUGCCUGGGAUCUGAUGGAGGGAUUCCUCAUGGAGCACCAGCCUAGGAUGGCGUCUUUGCCGUUGGGACCAUAGAACCUAGACCCAUAAUAGAAGCUCAUGGUGAUUUCAGCCUCCAUGAUGAUCAAGGUCGUGUGCUUCAGGUUGCUACGAGACAGAGAGCCAGGGAGAGUCCUGAAGGAUGAAAACAUUUCUGAAGUGUCUUUCUGAGAUCCGACACAGAACAUAAGUAGUCUAUGUCCUUUGUUGAAAAUGUGGUUGUCUGGUAUACAAAAAGAUCCUAUUCUUGUUACUUUCAUAGUUAUAGUAGUUAUUAACAAUGAAUCUAUAAUGAAAUCAUUAAACACAUAAAUAAACAUGUAAGGAAAACUUGUGAAAGUGUUCUCAUGUGAGUAUCUUUUUUUAAGAAAAGGUAUUGUGAAUAAGAAUUCAAAAUUGUGACUCCCUUUAAACUGGAGAGGGUCACUUCUUUGGCCAGAAUGCUGUAGACAUGCUUAUAUAAUAGCCAUUUAUUUAUUCUUUUUCAGAAUAAACUUAAACUUCUUUUAAGAAGUUUAAGAAAUAAACAUAGAAUAAAUAAUGAAUAAUUAAAUAUGGUAUAAAUGAAAUGCCCCAAGUAAGGAUAAGUGGUGAUUUGGUCUCAAUAUUUUCAUCCCCUUCUGUGUUUUGUGCUCCUCAGAAUGAAUGCACUAGAGAUGAUAUAGCAUCUGUCAUGGGCACCAGAUCUGUGGUUGCCUCUGAAUAAUAAGAGAAUAGAGAUUAAUAAGGGGUGUUCCUGCUGCUUCAGCCUUCACCGUGUUCAGUCAUCGGCUGUCUCUGCGUCAGGAAAACCCUAAGAAUGAAUGCAGCAGAAUGAUUUGACAUCUUCCAUGGACACAAGCUCUGUACUUGCCUCUGUAUAGUAGGAUGAUGGAGAUUAAUUUUUUGACAGAUAGCGUGUGUAUCCUGGGUUAAGGACGGCCUGAAUAAUACUGUGAAUGUGGAAGCUAGGAGCAGUGGAGAUUGUCUCCACCAUCGUGAUGGUCUGCUUUGCUUUAUAUUCCUCCGAGUGGGAGCGUGAGACCCGAAGGAAGGAUUCUUCAUGGAGUGCCUGCUUAGGAUGGCAUCUUUGUUGUUGGAACCAGAGACCCAUAACAGAAGCUCAAGGUGAUUUCAGCCUCUACUGUGAUCAGUAUCAUUUUCAGGAAAGAUCAAGAAUGAAGGCAGUAGAGAUGAUUUAGCAUAUUCCAUGGACAUGAGCUCUAUGAUUGCUUCGGAACAGGAGGAGGAUGAAGGUUAAUGUGGAUGUUGCUGCUCUCUCAGCUUCUGCUGUGCUUGCUGGUCACACCACCUGUGUGUCAGGAAGGAACUUAAGAAUAGAAGCUCAAGGUGACUUUAGCCUCCAUGGUGAUGAAGGUCAUGAGCUUCAGGUUGCUAUGGUACAGAGAAGCAGCAUCAGGGUCUUUUCCAAUGAGUCAGUUCUUCGCAUCAGA
Odocoileus virginianus texanus is the source of this 3628-nucleotide non-coding RNA. The record is from RefSeq and is a predicted model, not a curated record. NCBI's taxonomy places the organism in Eukaryota, Metazoa, Chordata, Mammalia, Artiodactyla, Cervidae.